CGGGCUUCUUACUGUUAGUUAAGCGGUAGAGAGAAGCUUGCUUCUCUUGAGAGCGGCGGACGGGUGAGUAAUGCCUAGGAAUCUGCCUGGUAGUGGGGGAUAACGUUCGGAAACGGACGCUAAUACCGCAUACGUCCUACGGGAGAAAGCAGGGGACCUUCGGGCCUUGCGCUAUCAGAUGAGCCUAGGUCGGAUUAGCUAGUUGGUGGGGUAAUGGCUCACCAAGGCGACGAUCCGUAACUGGUCUGAGAGGAUGAUCAGUCACACUGGAACUGAGACACGGUCCAGACUCCUACGGGAGGCAGCAGUGGGGAAUAUUGGACAAUGGGCGAAAGCCUGAUCCAGCCAUGCCGCGUGUGUGAAGAAGGUCUUCGGAUUGUAAAGCACUUUAAGUUGGGAGGAAGGGCAGUAGAUUAAUACUCUGCUGUUUUGACGUUACCGACAGAAUAAGCACCGGCUAACUCUGUGCCAGCAGCCGCGGUAAUACAGAGGGUGCAAGCGUUAAUCGGAAUUACUGGGCGUAAAGCGCGCGUAGGUGGUUUGUUAAGUUGGAUGUGAAAUCCCCGGGCUCAACCUGGGAACUGCAUUCAAAACUGACUGACUAGAGUAUGGUAGAGGGUGGUGGAAUUUCCUGUGUAGCGGUGAAAUGCGUAGAUAUAGGAAGGAACACCAGUGGCGAAGGCGACCACCUGGACUGAUACUGACACUGAGGUGCGAAAGCGUGGGGAGCAACAGGAUUAGAUACCCUGGUAGUCCACGCCGUAAACGAUGUCACUAGCCGUUGGGAGUCCUUGAGCUCUUAGUGGCGCAGCUACGCAUAGUGACCGCCUGGGGGAGUACGGCGCAGUUAAAAACUCAAUGAAUUGACUGGGGCCGCACAGCGGUGGAGCAUGGUGUUAUUCGAAUGCAGCGCAGACCUAACCAGCUGCACUGCAUGAACUUACCUAAAGGAUUGGUG
This 958-nucleotide ribosomal RNA is filed under the name Pseudomonas sp. RNAcentral describes it as "bacterial SSU rRNA". It matches the Rfam family "Bacterial small subunit ribosomal RNA", at positions 43 to 1015 of the family's 1533-position model. The record is from RNAcentral. Lineage: Bacteria; Pseudomonadati; Pseudomonadota; Gammaproteobacteria; Pseudomonadales; Pseudomonadaceae.